Molecule: ribosomal RNA, 519 nt
Filed under: uncultured bacterium
Lineage: Bacteria
Description: partial 16S ribosomal RNA
Rfam family: Bacterial small subunit ribosomal RNA
Source: RNAcentral
GACGAACGCUGGCGGCGUGCCUAAUACAUGCAAGUCGAGCGAGUCUGCCUUGAAGAUCGGAGUGCUUGCACUCUGUGAAACAAGAUACAGGCUAGCGGCGGACGGGUGAGUAACACGUGGGUAACCUGCCCAAGAGAUCGGGAUAACACCUGGAAACAGAUGCUAAUACCGGAUAACAACAGAUGAUGCCUAUCAACUGUUUAAAAGAUGGUUCUGCUAUCACUCUUGGAUGGACCUGCGGUGCAUUAGCUAGUUGGUAGGGUAACGGCCUACCAAGGCGAUGAUGCAUAGCCGAGUUGAGAGACUGAUCGGCCACAUUGGGACUGAGACACGGCCCAAACUCCUACGGGAGGCAGUAGUAGGGAAUCUUCCACAAAGGACGCAAGUCUGAUGGAGCAACGCCGCGUGAGUGAAGAAGGGUUUCGGCUCGUAAAGCUCUGUUGUUGGUGAAGAAGGACAGGGGUAGUAACUGACCUUUGUUUGACGGUAAUCAAUUAGAAAGUCACGGCUAACUACGUG